This 542-nucleotide ribosomal RNA is filed under the name uncultured bacterium. Its description in RNAcentral is "bacterial SSU rRNA". It matches the Rfam family "Bacterial small subunit ribosomal RNA", at positions 777 to 1320 of the family's 1533-position model. The record is from RNAcentral.
AAUAGAUACCCCGGUAGUCCACGCCGUAAACGAUGAGUGCUAAGUGUUGGGGGGUUUCCGCCCUCAGUGCUGCAGCUAACGCAUUAAGCACUCCGCCUGGGGAGUACGGUCGCAAGACUGAAACUCAAAGGAAUUGACGGGGGCCCGCACAAGCGGUGGAGCAUGUGGUUUAAUUCGAAGCAACGCGAAGAACCUUACCAGGUCUUGACAUCCCGGUGACCACUAUGGAGACAUAGUUUCCCCUUCGGGGCAACGGUGACAGGUGGUGCAUGGUUGUCGUCAGCUCGUGUCGUGAGAUGUUGGGUUAAGUCCCGCAACGAGCGCAACCCUUAUUCUUAGUUGCCAUCAUUCAGUUGGGCACUCUAAGGAGACUGCCGGUGAUAAACCGGAGGAAGGUGGGGAUGACGUCAAAUCAUCAUGCCCCUUAUGACCUGGGCUACACACGUGCUACAAUGGACGGUACAAACGGUUGCCAACCCGCGAGGGGAGCUAAUCCGAUAAAACCGUUCUCAGUUCGGAUUGUAGGCUGCAACUCGCCUACA